This 750-nucleotide ribosomal RNA is filed under the name uncultured bacterium. RNAcentral's name for it is "bacterial SSU rRNA". It matches the Rfam family "Bacterial small subunit ribosomal RNA", at positions 54 to 778 of the family's 1533-position model. The record is from RNAcentral.
GGGGAAGGCCUAACUGGCAGUCGACGAGCACCUCUCCCGUUGAUUGAAGUAGCUUGCUACAGAUUGAAACAAUUGAGGUGACUGAGUGGCGGACGGGUGAGUAACGCGUGGGUAACCUGCCUUGUACAGGGGGAUAACAGUUGGAAACGACUGCUAAUACCGCAUAAGCGCACAGUAUCGCAUGAUACGGUGUGAAAAACUCCGGUGGUACAAGAUGGACCCGCGUCUGAUUAGCUAGUUGGAGGGGUAACGGCCCACCAAGGCAACGAUCAGUAGCCGACUUGAGAGAGUGAUCGGCCACAUUGGGACUGAGACACGGCCCAAACUCCUACGGGAGGCAGCAGUAGGGAAUAUUGCACAAUGGGGGAAACCCUGAUGCAGCGACGCCGCGUGAAGGAUGAAGUAUUUCGGUAUGUAAACUUCUAUCAGCAAGGAAGAAAAUGACGGUACUUGACUAAGAAGCCCCGGCUAAAUACGUGCCAGCAGCCGCGGUAAUACGUAUGGGGCAAGCGUUAUCCGGAUUUACUGGGUGUAAAGGGAGCGUAGGCGGUACGGCAAGUCAGAAGUGAAAGCCUGGGGCUCAACCCCGGAAUUGCUUUUGAAACUGUCGAACUAGAGUGUCGGAGGGGUAAGCGGAAUUCCUAGUGUAGCGGUGAAAUGCGUAGAUAUUAGGAGGAACACCGGUGGCGAAGGCGGCUUACUGGACGACCACUGACGCUGAGGCUCGAAAGCGUGGGGAGCAAACAGGAU